This 1119-nucleotide long non-coding RNA is filed under the name Marmota marmota marmota (Alpine marmot). RNAcentral describes it as "lncRNA (ENSMMMG00000016115.1)". The record is from RNAcentral. Lineage: Eukaryota; Metazoa; Chordata; Mammalia; Rodentia; Sciuridae.
GGAAUGCUCCCGGCAUGCAAUUCGGCUGGCUUGUGAGAGCGCUUGUCCCGAGUCCUUGCCGGUGAGUUGUUCCGGGUUCGGGCGAGCCUCACGGCUCCGUGGUCUUUGAUGUGGUUGAGAGAAGCCAAAUGUUCCCAGCAAGGGCUGAGGAAGGCAUUCUGGAGUCCAGAGCGGCAGCAACGAACACUAUGUGAACUCACGCCAGCCCACAUGGGCACAGCAGCAGCAGCCCCUGACCUCAGGCUGCACUGGGCACCUCUUCCUUAAGCCCUGGGGCUUCCCUGUGGAUGCCAGCACUUGACACUUCAGAGAACCCGUUGAACUCCCGGACAAACACAACCUGGAAGCACAGCAAGUUCGUGCUGUCUGGAGCCUUUCAUGAGUGACAGGAGCCAGUGGCUAAAUUCAUCUCCCUUCUUGAAUCACACUUGACAGCUAGCAGUGGUCAGCUCAGGCAGACAAUCUCCAACGCCCUCCCCUGCUCUCCCUUAUGUCAGCUUCCCCAGAAUGGUACUGCCUGAGAAAACAGCGCAGAAACUUCUCAGUGUUCUCCUUGUGGGGAACAUAAGCCAAGAGGCUUGUUUCCAGGGGAGGUUCUCGGAAGCAGACCCUUGUACUAGGACUUCGAGUUGAUUGUUUACCCAAGUUUGGCCCAAGUCCAUCUCACAAUGAGGUCCAUGAGUGCAUGAAUCCACCCUGUGGUUAUUUUCCUCCACCUUUUAAUUUAUUUUCCUCCACCUUUUAAUAUAUAUUUUGGAUAGAUGCACUUCAUCAUUUGGUAGAAUUCACCUCGAUGGCUUCUGAACCUGUGAAUUAAGGGUGAUUAUGGUAUAAAUGGCCAAGUGAAAACACUUGAAACUUACCACUGUAUCAUGGAAAGCCCUGUAGAGAACUGUACCUAUGCCAAAAACUUAAGAGGGUACAUGAUCAUUUUCCCCCAUCAUAUCCCCAUUGAUUUCUCUUUGUCUCUAUAAAAAUUUACAUGUCUAAAGCAAGUGGAUGUGGUAAAUUAAAAAAUUACCCCAAAUUGUGAGUUAAGUAAACCUAUUUUCUUUAUAAAUUUCCCAGCCUUGGGUAUUUUGUUAUAGCAGUAAAAAUGGAGUUAAGUCAGGCCCCAAC